Molecule: ribosomal RNA, 973 nt
Filed under: Staphylococcus aureus
Lineage: Bacteria; Bacillati; Bacillota; Bacilli; Caryophanales; Staphylococcaceae
Description: partial 23S ribosomal RNA
Rfam family: Bacterial large subunit ribosomal RNA
Source: RNAcentral
GCGGCCGUAACUAUAACGGUCCUAAGGUAGCGAAAUUCCUUGUCGGGUAAGUUCCGACCCGCACGAAAGGCGUAACGAUUUGGGCACUGUCUCAACGAGAGACUCGGUGAAAUCAUAGUACCUGUGAAGAUGCAGGUUACCCGCGACAGGACGGAAAGACCCCGUGGAGCUUUACUGUAGCCUGAUAUUGAAAUUCGGCACAGCUUGUACAGGAUAGGUAGGAGCCUUUGAAACGUGAGCGCUAGCUUACGUGGAGGCGCUGGUGGGAUACUACCCUAGCUGUGUUGGCUUUCUAACCCGCACCACUUAUCGUGGUGGGAGACAGUGUCAGGCGGGCAGUUUGACUGGGGCGGUCGCCUCCUAAAAGGUAACGGAGGCGCUCAAAGGUUCCCUCAGAAUGGUUGGAAAUCAUUCAUAGAGUGUAAAGGCAUAAGGGAGCUUGACUGCGAGACCUACAAGUCGAGCAGGGUCGAAAGACGGACUUAGUGAUCCGGUGGUUCCGCAUGGAAGGGCCAUCGCUCAACGGAUAAAAGCUACCCCGGGGAUAACAGGCUUAUCUCCCCCAAGAGUUCACAUCGACGGGGAGGUUUGGCACCUCGAUGUCGGCUCAUCGCAUCCUGGGGCUGUAGUCGGUCCCAAGGGUUGGGCUGUUCGCCCAUUAAAGCGGUACGCGAGCUGGGUUCAGAACGUCGUGAGACAGUUCGGUCCCUAUCCGUCGUGGGCGUAGGAAAUUUGAGAGGAGCUGUCCUUAGUACGAGAGGACCGGGAUGGACAUACCUCUGGUGUACCAGUUGUCGUGCCAACGGCAUAGCUGGGUAGCUAUGUGUGGACGGGAUAAGUGCUGAAAGCAUCUAAGCAUGAAGCCCCCCUCAAGAUGAGAUUUCCCAACUUCGGUUAUAAGAUCCCUCAAAGAUGAUGAGGUUAAUAGGUUCGAGGUGGAAGCAUGGUGACAUGUGGAGCUGACGAAUACUAA